CCAAUAGCGUAUAUUAAAGUUGUUGCAGUUAAAAAGCUCGUAGUUGAAUUUCGGGAUCAGUACGCUGGUCGUGCCUUCGGUAUGUACUGGUGUCACUGAUUCCUCCCUUCUGACGAACCGUCAUGCUAUUAAUUUAGUGUGGCGGGGAAUCAGGACUGUUACUUUGAAAAAAUUAGAGUGUUUAAAGCAGGCUCACGCUUGAAUACAUUAGCAUGGAAUAAUGAAAUAGGACGUUGAUCUUAUUUUGUUGGUUUCUAGGAUUGACGUAAUGAUUAAUAGGGAUAGUUGGGGGCAUUAGUAUUCAAUUGUCAGAGGUGAAAUUCUUGGAUUUAUUGAAGACUAACUACUGCGAAAGCAUUUGCCAAGGAUGUUUUCAUUAAUCAAGAACGAAAGUUAGGGGAUCGAAGACGAUCAGAUACCGUCGUAGUCUUAACCAUAAACUAUGCCGACUAGGGAUCGGAUGAUGUUAAUUUUUUAAUGACUCAUUCGGCGCCUUACG
This 499-nucleotide ribosomal RNA is filed under the name uncultured Glomeromycotina. RNAcentral describes it as "partial small subunit ribosomal RNA". It matches the Rfam family "Eukaryotic small subunit ribosomal RNA", at positions 591 to 1092 of the family's 1831-position model. Lineage: Eukaryota; Fungi; Glomeromycota. The record is from RNAcentral.